Long non-coding RNA from Salvia hispanica, 727 nucleotides. RefSeq lists it as uncharacterized. Lineage: Eukaryota; Viridiplantae; Streptophyta; Magnoliopsida; Lamiales; Lamiaceae. The record is from RefSeq and is a predicted model, not a curated record.
ACCUCUCACACCACGAUCAAAAUCGCUCUCCUCCAAUUCCAUCCAUUUUCAAAACCCUAGCCACCGGUCUCCUCCAAUUCCACCCAUCAUUCUCCUCCUAAUCUCGUUUACUACUGUCUAAACAACCUCCGGGCGACCGUUCUCAGUUGAAGUGUGCCUACUUUCGCGAGCGACCGACAACGUCCAAUCGACAACAGAGUAGCGUUCUAAAAGCUUCGAUUUUUGAUAAACAAUGACAAAAAGAGGUCGCUCAUUCAAUUCCCAACCCACCCAGACUGUAGCAGCGAAGCUGCCAAGGGUGGAUUUCGAAGAAGCUGUUCACGAUGUCAUACCUAUAGCUAUUGCACAAAAAUUCCGGCAGAGAUUGGCCAAACAAAACGAAGAGACAAGUACAGGGAACGAAGAGUUGGAGCAGCGGAAAUCACGAGGGAAGAAGGUCGACCAUCUAUACUGACAUGUUGUGCAUCAAGUUCGCAAAGACACUACUAACAUGUCAAUACAACAAACGAGGACAACCAACUUUCCGCAAGCAACCAUUGGAAGGUCAGGCCCGCAAAGUUCAACUUUGAGAGGUGGGUCAAUGAGUAUGGGCUGGAGUGAUGAUCUGGAUUUCAAUUGGAUAGUUUGGUUUUAGACAUUUUAAAUCAAUUUUGGGUUAACUUAUGUUGGAAACAAACGUGAAAGCAACUAGGGUAACUGUUUGUGAUUUGGAUUCAUGUUUUGUUAU